CCUACGGGUGGCAGCAGUGAGGAAUAUUGGUCAAUGGACGGAAGCCUGAACCAGCCAUGCCGCGUGCAGGAAGACGGCUCUCUGAGUUGUAAACUGCUUUUGUACAAGGGUAAAUCUGAAUACGUGUAUUCAGCUGAAAGUACUGUAAGAAUAAGGAUCGGCUAACUCCGUGCCAGCAGCCGCGGUAAUACGGAGGAUCCAAGCGUUAUCCGGAUUUAUUGGGUUUAACGGGUGCGUAGACGGAUUGAUAAGUUAGAGGUGAAAUGUUCGGGCUUAACUUGGGAACUGCCUUUGAAACUGAGGAUCUAGAGAGUAGAUGCGGUAGGCGGAAUGUAUGGUGUAGCGGUGAAAUGCUUAGAGAUCAGAAAGAACACCGAUUGCGAAGGCAGCUUACUAAUCUGUAACUGACGUUGAGGCACGAAAGCGUGGGGAGCAAACAGGAUUAGAUACCCGGGUAGUC
RNAcentral lists this ribosomal RNA (460 nucleotides) under uncultured bacterium. RNAcentral's name for it is "partial 16S ribosomal RNA". It matches the Rfam family "Bacterial small subunit ribosomal RNA", at positions 338 to 795 of the family's 1533-position model. The record is from RNAcentral.